This 283-nucleotide unclassified non-coding RNA is filed under the name uncultured Russula. RNAcentral describes it as "sequence contains ITS2". The record is from RNAcentral. Lineage: Eukaryota; Fungi; Basidiomycota; Agaricomycetes; Russulales; Russulaceae.
AAUCAUCAAAACCUUUUCCUCUUUGAUCCCAAAUUUAUUUUGGUUGGGAAAAGGAUUUUGGACUUGGAGGGUUCCAUGCUUGCUUUCUUUUGAAAGCGAGCUCCUCUCAAAUGAAUCAGUGGGGUCCGCUUUGCCGAUCCUUGACGUGAUAAGAUGCUUCUACGUUUUGGAUUUGGCACUGUCCCUUGGAUGCCUGCUCCUAACUGUCCCCAUGGACGAUGAUGGUGCUCCGGUCGACCGCCGUCUACGUUGGCGGGGGGAGGCUGGACCCACGAAAAGAAAA